AUAUAUAAAUAAAAUUAUAUUCUCGUCACUAAUUUAGAGAUAAUAAAAAAUAUUGGAUACAUCACCUUACGGUCUGACUAGAUCUGACCCAUAAAGGUGCAGCGUAUUCGCUUAUCCAGAUCUCUCGUAAGAGCUCUGGUAAGGUGUUGAUGAGGUUCAGAAGUUGAAUUCAGUGCGGGUCCAGCUGGAUAGGGUCUUGACGGUGUAAAUGUUGCGGGGUCCUAGGAGCUAUAAAGUUUGGUCUACGUUUACAGGGUCUAGCAAAUGGAGAGUAUGUUCGAAAGUUGUUGACAGUUUUUACAUUUGGUGCAUUGUAUGCAAGUGGCAUUAUUCCCAUCAAAACCUGUCUGCAAGUGCAUAUAAAGAGGACUUAAUGUUAAUCCGGCUACAUCCUCUUGUCUUCCAUAAAUAUUUUCCUAAAGUGCAAACUUUAUAAACAUAACUAAAAAAAUUUGGAGUUUAUUUAAAAAAGUAUAGUCAUUAUUGAAUUAUUUCCCUUAAAUUUCAAAUUUUAUUAUUCACUUAUCAAAUUUAGUUUUCUAUUCUUCGCAUACACUUUUUCAACUCGUCACUCAUCAUGACUCUGGUAAUAACUGUUGAUAUUUAAGUGGUUUAUAUUAUUUUAAAGAAUUUCCAGUCUUUCGUUAAUGUUAUACAAAUAAC
This is a long non-coding RNA of Zeugodacus cucurbitae (melon fly), 663 nucleotides long. RefSeq lists it as uncharacterized. Lineage: Eukaryota; Metazoa; Arthropoda; Insecta; Diptera; Tephritidae. The transcript is spliced from 2 exons. The record is from RefSeq and is a predicted model, not a curated record.